RNAcentral lists this ribosomal RNA (255 nucleotides) under uncultured bacterium. RNAcentral describes it as "partial 16S ribosomal RNA". It matches the Rfam family "Bacterial small subunit ribosomal RNA", at positions 524 to 777 of the family's 1533-position model. The record is from RNAcentral.
UACGGAGGGGGCUAGCGUUGUUCGGAAUUACUGGGCGUAAAGCGCGCGCAGGCGGCUAUCCAAGUCAGUGGUGAAAGCCCGGAGCUCAACUCCGGAACUGCCAUUGAAACUGUUUAGCUUGAGGACGAGAGAGGUGAGUGGAAUUCCCAGUGUAGAGGUGAAAUUCGUAGAUAUUGGGAAGAACACCGGUGGCGAAGGCGGCUCACUGGCUCGUAUCUGACGCUCAGGCGCGACAGCGUGGGGAUCGAAACAAGG